GGCCAGGCUGGUCUUAAGCUCCUGACCUUAAGUGAUCUACCCACCUCGGCCUCCCAAAGUGCUGGGAUUACAGGAUAAGCCGUGUCUGGCCUUAUAUAAUUUAGAUACAAGUCAUGAGAUAUAUUAUUUGCAAAAAUAUUCUGGCACUCUGUAGCUGUCUUUCAUCUUUCCUGACUGUGUUCAUUGAAGCAGAAGUUGUUUGUUUUUUUAAUUUUAAUUGUAUCCAAUUUAUCCAUUUUUUUCCUUAUCAAACUGUGCUUUUGGUGUAAAAAUUAAAAAUCCAAUGCCGAAUUCAAGGACAGAUAGAUUUACUUUAUAUUUCCUCCUAAAAGUUUUGUAGUGUAAACCUUAUAUUUGAGUCUUGGGCUUAUUUUCAGUUAAUUAUUGUAUUUUUCAUGAGGUAGGGGUGUAAUUUUCUUUUUUAUUUACUUAUUUUUUGCAUAUGGAUGCCAAGUUGUCCCAGCACCAUUUGUUGAAAAUAGUUAGUUCCCCUUUUAAUUGUCUUGCCUCCCUUGUCAGAAGUUAAUUGGCUGCAAAUUAACUUAUGUGAGGGUUUAUGUCUGGACUUUAAAUUCUAUUUCAUUGAUCAAUAUUUAUAUCCUAUGCCAGUACCAGCUUUAUAAUAAGUUUAAAAAUUUGGAAAUGUGACUCUUCAAACUUUGUGUAUUUCAAUAUUGUUUUGGCUAUUCUGGGUCCAUUACAUUUUUAUAUAAAUGUUAGAAACAGCUUUUCACAAGAUGGCACCGAAAGCGAAGAAGGAAGCUCCUGCCCCUCCUAAAGCCGAAGCCAAAGCGAAGGCUUUAAAGGCCAAGAAGGCAGUGUUGAAAGGUGUCCACAGCCACAAAAAAAAGAAGAUCCGCACGUCACCCACCUUCCGACGGCCCAAGACACUGUGACUCCAGAGGCAGCCCAAAUAUCCUCAGGAGAGUGCCCCCAGGAGAAACAAACUGGACCACUAUGCUAUCAUCAAGUUUCCGCUGACCACUGAGUCUGCCAUGAAGAAGAUAGAAGACAACAACACACUUGUGUUCAUUGUGGAUGUUAAAGCCAACAAGCACCAGAUCAAACAGGCUGUAAAGAAGCUCUAUGACGUUGAUGUGGCCAAGGUCAACACCUGAUUCGGCCUGAUGGAGAGAAGAAGACAUAUGUUCGACUGGCUCCUGAUUACGAUGCUUUGGAUGUUGCCAACAAAAUUAGGAUCAUCUAAACUGAGUCCAGCUGGCUAAUUCUAAAUAUAUGUAUAUCUUUUCACCAUAAUAAAUAAAUAAAUAAAUAAAUGUUAGAAACAGGUUGUAAAUUUCUUCAAAGUAGGCAACCUUAAUUUUGAUAGGGCUUGCAUUGACUAUUUAGAUUAUUUUGAAGAGUGCUGUCAUCUUUAUAAUAUUGUGCCUUCUGAUGCAUAAAAUGCCUUUUAUCAGACGUCAUUUUGAAGAAGUCUGUGAUUACUGCUUUUGAUGUUCAGGUUGGCUCAAAAGUUUUAAAACUCUAAUGUGUGAUUAGUAACAUUAUACCAUCUUUAAAUAAUUAUCUGUAAUUUAUUAAGUGUGCAUAACAUAACUCUAGAAUAUACAUAAAUGUCACGAUACCUUCAUUUGUGAUUUUUCAGAUCCUUUAAUUCUGAUGCCAGGGGCGAAUUUCAGAAGAUUGUGUAAAAUACUCAUGUUUCACAAUCUCUCUAAAUAUUCAUUUUACAAUGUCAGCUUUAAUUACUUAUUUGAACAAAUUUUAUAUUUUAAUUUAUAGGCUAAGUUUAUCUGACAUUUUCAGAUAUAAUAUAUGCUUUCUAAUCUGUUUAUUUUUUAUUACAAUUCAGAGGUAGAAGUUUUAUUUUCUAUAUCCCUGGCAAUCAUUAUAGUCUAUAAUUAUUUUCUGUAAAUCUCUAAUUCCUGAAAAAUUUGUGAACUAUAUGAAAUAUUAAAAGCUGCUAUCUAAUGUUUUUCCAUUUUACUUGUAUUUUUUACCAUAAUAUUUAUUACUGUUUUUAAUUAGUAUAUUCUAUUUGUAUAGUACUAAGCAUUUUAGAAAGAAAGUAGAAAAUUAUUUUUUAAAAAGCACACCAACCAUUUUCAUCAGGAAAAUAGUUAAGAUGUAAAAUAAUAUGAUGAGGAUUAGCAUAAAAAGAUGUAGAUUCCAUGAAAAAAUUGGCAGCAAAUAAAGUGUACUGGAAACUUAAUUCUUUUUUAGAUUAAUCCUUCCUCUCUUUCCUUAUAUUUUUCACUAAAAUAAAUGAAUAAAAAGACAUAAAUAAAUGAAUAAAUGUAGGAAGAAGGUCAUAUUUUGAUACCAAUUUUAGUAAUGCUUUAUAUAUGGCAUUCUUAUAAGAUAUUUACUUAAAAUUCACAAUUUACUAGAUGUAGUCAUAUAGAUCUAACGCAGCACUUAGAGACAAACUUUAUUGGGGCCUUCAAAGAUUUAUAGGAAUAUAAAGUUAUACAACAAGAACUGGAUGUCACAAAAAGAACACACUGGUUGGCUGCUGCAGGACCAUCUCACAGGUGUUAUUUGCUUUGGUAAAUUCAUCAUGAUCCAGGCCAUUGCUGUAAAUCUUAGAGGUUUUACAACCCGAUCUUGCCCACAUCCUAGAAUUCAUCCAAAUUCAUGAGGUGAAAUCACGCUGAUUACAUCAUAAGA
Molecule: RNA transcript, 2631 nt
Organism: Sapajus apella (tufted capuchin)
Lineage: Eukaryota; Metazoa; Chordata; Mammalia; Primates; Cebidae
Gene name: 60S ribosomal protein L23a pseudogene
Exons: 1
Source: RefSeq, a predicted model, not a curated record